CUACGGGCUGCUCCAGUGAGGAAUAUUGCACAAUGGGGGGAACCCUGAUGCGGCAACGCCGCGUGGAGGAUGACGCAUUUCGGUGUGUAAACUCCUUUUAUAUGUCAAGAAAAUGACGGUAGCAUAUGAAUAAGCACCGGCUAACUCCGUGCCAGCAGCCGCGGUAAUACGGAGGGUGCAAGCGUUACUCGGAAUCACUGGGCGUAAAGGACGCGUAGGCGGGUUGGAAAGUCAGGUGUGAAAUCCUACAGCUUAACUGUAGAACUGCACUUGAAACUUCUAAUCUAGAGUAUGGGAGGGGGAGAUGGAAUUAGUGGUGUAGGGGUAAAAUCCGUAGAUAUCACUAGGAAUACCUAAAGCGAAGGCGAUCUCCUGGAACAUUACUGACGCUAAGGCGCGAAAGCGUGGGGAGCAAACAGGAUUAGAUACCCCUGUAGUC
This 439-nucleotide ribosomal RNA is filed under the name uncultured bacterium. RNAcentral's name for it is "partial 16S ribosomal RNA". It matches the Rfam family "Bacterial small subunit ribosomal RNA", at positions 339 to 795 of the family's 1533-position model. The record is from RNAcentral.